GCUCUGUGGUUGCUAGAGGCUGUUAAACAGUGCAGCACUCAGUGCGUAGAGUGGGCCAGAGCAGUCAGGUGACUUAUGUAAGGGAGCUGUGUUUCCUCAGCAGCUGCCAUAGCCUAGUCACUGGUACAUAG
RNAcentral lists this small nucleolar RNA (131 nucleotides) under Chinchilla lanigera (long-tailed chinchilla). RNAcentral's name for it is "Small nucleolar RNA SNORA84 (ENSCLAG00000021382.1)". It matches the Rfam family "Small nucleolar RNA SNORA84". Lineage: Eukaryota; Metazoa; Chordata; Mammalia; Rodentia; Chinchillidae. The record is from Rfam by way of RNAcentral.